This 272-nucleotide long non-coding RNA is filed under the name Gossypium raimondii (Peruvian cotton). Its description in RNAcentral is "long non-coding RNA (GRAI_LNC003742)". Lineage: Eukaryota; Viridiplantae; Streptophyta; Magnoliopsida; Malvales; Malvaceae. The record is from RNAcentral.
UUUUUGAUAAUUUUUACAUUUUUGAGAUCAUUGCUUUGAAUACUAGCUAGCCCAUGCUUGAAUUUUUGAAUUGGUUGUGUAUUUUGUGAUUUUCCAUUGAUGAGAAAUUGUUUUUUUUUUUUUUUGUUGUUUGAUGAUGGAAAAUAAAUAUAUGUGGUUAGAUUGUCAAGUUUAAUUAAGUAAUUUUUAGUAAAAAUGCCUAUUUAGGAUUAAAUUGUGAAUUUCAAAAAUGUAAGGGUCAAAAUGCAAAAUAAAUGAAAGGAAUGGGCUGC